Non-coding RNA from Acanthosepion pharaonis, 97 nucleotides. The record is from the annotation of a GenBank genome assembly. Lineage: Eukaryota; Metazoa; Mollusca; Cephalopoda; Sepiida; Sepiidae.
AUUGAAACACUAGUUCCCUUACAAGCACCUAAGUUAAGCAACAUUGAGCCUGGUCAGUACCUAGCUGGAUAACUGCUUGGGAAUACCAGGCGCUGUU